AGGGAUAAAAGAAGUUGAUUCCAGUGUAUGUUUGUUUUUAAAUUUAUUAUUUAACAGAGUAUUCUUGCAUCACUACACUUCCACACACUGUACACAUUGGUCCCUAUAACCCUGAUGGCGUCGGCCAGUGGUUCUUUAGUGUAAUACCCGUAAUUAUUUUCUUUAAUUUUAUUAGUUGUCAAGGGCAAUUUGAUAAAUUAAUAUUCUCGGUGAAUAAAUGGGUACCAUUUAAUUUAAUAUUUUCAAAUAAUUAUAUGAUAUUGAUUUGUGAAUUUAAAUAAUUAAGUUAUAAUUUUAUUAAGUUAAAUUAUUUUGACUAAUUAUCAUAUAAGAGUAUAUAAAUAUAUAUGUAUAUGUAAGUGUAUCUAUUUAAGUUGGGAAUGCUUUUAUAGCAUAAGUUAAGGUGAGGGACUAGAAAGAAAUUUUAUAAAAAAAUAAAAAUAAAUAAAUAAAUAAUAAAAAUAUAUAACAAAACUUUUGUUCCUCCCCCUUCUUCCUUCUUCCCCCCGACGCUAACACCUAUCUCUCCCCACCACUUCCUUCCAUUUUCACCACAUGCACCUCCCCCCAGCCGCCGCAAACUCCUUCUUCCCCUCCCUCGUGGCAUCGCCUCCUUCUUCUUCCUUUUUGCUGCCAACGACGAGUUGGAGGAAGGGAAGCUCCUCCCUCACUGCCACCGCAAGCACAACCAUUUGCCUCCCUUUUUUUGUAAAUCCGACGCUCGAAACGAGAUCCCCUCCAUCGAAAACCCCCAAGCCAAGCUCCUCCGCCGUCUUUCCUCCACGGGCAGCAGUUAUAGCCUCGCUGCAGCUGAGACUUUUUGGCCUCGAUUCGGUGGCUUCCGGCAAGUUUCCAGCAACAACAUUUGCAUUUUCAGACUUUCCGGGGCUCAAGCUUCACAUAAGCGCUUCCAGAUUUGAAAUCUGACACCGUUGGUGGCACCAGCUGGAGGCGCAGAAUUUUAGAUUUUUAACUCGAUAAUCCAUCUGUCCAGCCAGCUCCACCUGAGACAUAGGAGCAGACUGCAGAGCGCCGCAGAACUUAGAACAUGCCACCUGAUGGGUUGCAUCAAAGAUCGUGUAUGCACUAGUAUUAAACAAAGACAAGUAGUAAAAGAAUAUUUUUGGGAUUUGCUCUGGUCGAGUACAACUCUCUAGGCUAUAUGAGAAUUUGAUCAACGGAGGAAAGGUCCCUAGUCGAGUAUUGUUCUCUCGGUGCCAGUCUUAUUGCAAUAAGAGAGUCGAAUGGCUAAUAAAAUUGGAGUUUAGGGUUCUGCUGGGGUACUUAUCUCAUAAACGUUUAAAUUGUAUUUUUCUGAAUCAUGG
Long non-coding RNA from Ricinus communis (castor bean), 1325 nucleotides. RefSeq lists it as uncharacterized. The record is from RefSeq and is a predicted model, not a curated record. NCBI's taxonomy places the organism in Eukaryota, Viridiplantae, Streptophyta, Magnoliopsida, Malpighiales, Euphorbiaceae. The transcript is spliced from 3 exons.